Molecule: ribosomal RNA, 498 nt
Filed under: uncultured bacterium
Lineage: Bacteria
Description: bacterial SSU rRNA
Rfam family: Bacterial small subunit ribosomal RNA
Source: RNAcentral
GUGCCUAACACAUGCAAGUCGGAACGAUCUUCUUUUGUAGCAAUAUAGAAGAAGGUGAGUGGCGCACGGGUGAGUAAUACAUAGAUGAUCUGCCUUUCAGACUGGGACAACUCAGGGAAACUUUGAGCUAAUACCAGAUAAGACCACAUGAAGGGAUUUCACGUGACCAAAGGGUGAGCAAUCUCCUGCUGGAAGAUGAGUCUAUGUCCUAUCAGUUAGUUGGUGGGGUAAAGGCCUACCAAGACGAAGACGGGUAGCCGGCCUGAGAGGGUGAACGGCCACACUGGAACUGAGACACGGUCCAGACUCCUACGGGAGGCAGCAGUGAGGAAUUUUCCGCAAUGGGCGAAAGCCUGACGGAGCGACGCCCGCGUGAGGGAUGAAGGUUUUCGGAUCGUAAACCUCUUUUUAUCAAGGAAAAAGGCUUUAAUGCGAAUAACAUUAAAGUUUGAUUGUACUUAAUGAAUAAGCCCCGGCUAACUACGUGCCAGCCGCUGC